UACGGGGGGGGCAAGCGUUGUUCGGAAUUACUGGGCGUAAAGGGCUCGUAGGCGGCCAACUAAGUCAGACGUGAAAUCCCUCGGCUUAACCGGGGAACUGCGUCUGAUACUGGAUGGCUGGAGGUUGGGAGAGGGAUGCGGAAUUCCAGGUGUAGCGGUGAAAUGCGUAGAUAUCGGGAAGAACACCCGUGGCGAAGGCGGCUCUCUGGGACGGUACUGACGCUGAGACGCGAAAGCGUGGGGAGCGAACAGG
This 253-nucleotide ribosomal RNA is filed under the name uncultured bacterium. Its description in RNAcentral is "partial 16S ribosomal RNA". It matches the Rfam family "Bacterial small subunit ribosomal RNA", at positions 524 to 776 of the family's 1533-position model. The record is from RNAcentral.